UACGUAGGCAGCGAGCGUUGUUUGGAGUUACUGGGCGUAAAGAGUGCGUAGGCGGUUUUCUAAGUUUGGUGUGAAAUCUCCCGGCUCAACUGGGAGGGUGCGCCGAAGACUGGAAGGCUUGAGUAUGGGAGAGGUAAGCGGAAUUCCUGGUGUAGCGGUGAAAUGCGUAGAUAUCAGGAGGAACACCUGCGGUGUAGACGGCUUACUGGACCAUAACUGACGCUGAGGCACGAAAGCGUGGGUAGCAAACAGG
This 253-nucleotide ribosomal RNA is filed under the name uncultured bacterium. Its description in RNAcentral is "partial 16S ribosomal RNA". It matches the Rfam family "Bacterial small subunit ribosomal RNA", at positions 524 to 776 of the family's 1533-position model. The record is from RNAcentral.